RNAcentral lists this ribosomal RNA (1550 nucleotides) under Cytobacillus solani. Its description in RNAcentral is "bacterial SSU rRNA". It matches the Rfam family "Bacterial small subunit ribosomal RNA". The record is from RNAcentral. Lineage: Bacteria; Bacillati; Bacillota; Bacilli; Caryophanales; Bacillaceae.
UUAUUGGAGAGUUUGAUCCUGGCUCAGGACGAACGCUGGCGGCGUGCCUAAUACAUGCAAGUCGAGCGAAUCUGAGGGAGCUUGCUCCCAAAGAUUAGCGGCGGACGGGUGAGUAACACGUGGGCAACCUGCCUGUAAGACUGGGAUAACUUCGGGAAACCGGAGCUAAUACCGGAUAAUCCUUUUCUACUCAUGUAGAAAAGUUGAAAGAUGGCUUCGGCUAUCACUUACAGAUGGGCCCGCGGCGCAUUAGCUAGUUGGUGAGGUAACGGCUCACCAAGGCGACGAUGCGUAGCCGACCUGAGAGGGUGAUCGGCCACACUGGGACUGAGACACGGCCCAGACUCCUACGGGAGGCAGCAGUAGGGAAUCUUCCGCAAUGGACGAAAGUCUGACGGAGCAACGCCGCGUGAGUGAUGAAGGUUUUCGGAUCGUAAAACUCUGUUGUUAGGGAAGAACAAGUACCGUUCGAAUAGGGCGGUACCUUGACGGUACCUAACCAGAAAGCCACGGCUAACUACGUGCCAGCAGCCGCGGUAAUACGUAGGUGGCAAGCGUUGUCCGGAAUUAUUGGGCGUAAAGCGCGCGCAGGUGGUUUCUUAAGUCUGAUGUGAAAGCCCCCGGCUCAACCGGGGAGGGUCAUUGGAAACUGGGAGACUUGAGUGCAGAAGAGGAAAGUGGAAUUCCAAGUGUAGCGGUGAAAUGCGUAGAGAUUUGGAGGAACACCAGUGGCGAAGGCGACUUUCUGGUCUGUAACUGACACUGAGGCGCGAAAGCGUGGGGAGCGAACAGGAUUAGAUACCCUGGUAGUCCACGCCGUAAACGAUGAGUGCUAAGUGUUAGAGGGUUUCCGCCCUUUAGUGCUGCAGCAAACGCAUUAAGCACUCCGCCUGGGGAGUACGGCCGCAAGGCUGAAACUCAAAGGAAUUGACGGGGCCCGCACAAGCGGUGGAGCAUGUGGUUUAAUUCGAAGCAACGCGAAGAACCUUACCAGGUCUUGACAUCCUCUGACAAUCCUAGAGAUAGGACGUUCCCCUUCGGGGGACAGAGUGACAGGUGGUGCAUGGUUGUCGUCAGCUCGUGUCGUGAGAUGUUGGGUUAAGUCCCGCAACGAGCGCAACCCUUGAUCUUAGUUGCCAGCAUUCAGUUGGGCACUCUAAGGUGACUGCCGGUGACAAACCGGAGGAAGGUGGGGAUGACGUCAAAUCAUCAUGCCCCUUAUGACCUGGGCUACACACGUGCUACAAUGGAUGGUACAAAGGGCUGCAAGACCGCGAGGUUUAGCCAAUCCCAUAAAACCAUUCUCAGUUCGGAUUGCAGGCUGCAACUCGCCUGCAUGAAGCCGGAAUCGCUAGUAAUCGCGGAUCAGCAUGCCGCGGUGAAUACGUUCCCGGGCCUUGUACACACCGCCCGUCACACCACGAGAGUUUGUAACACCCGAAGUCGGUGGGGUAACCGUAAGGAGCCAGCCGCCUAAGGUGGGACAGAUGAUUGGGGUGAAGUCGUAACAAGGUAGCCGUAUCGGAAGGUGCGGCUGGAUCACCUCCUUU